Molecule: ribosomal RNA, 500 nt
Filed under: uncultured bacterium
Lineage: Bacteria
Description: partial 16S ribosomal RNA
Rfam family: Bacterial small subunit ribosomal RNA
Source: RNAcentral
AAUGAACGCUGGCGGAAUGCUUUACACAUGCAAGUCGAACGGCAGCACGGACUUCGGUCUGGUGGCGAGUGGCGAACGGGUGAGUAAUGUAUCGGAACGUAUCCAAUAAUGGGGGAUAACUAGUCGAAAGAUUAGCUAAUACCGCAUACGCCCUACGGGGGAAAGCUAGGGACCUUCGGGCCUGGCGUUAAUGGAGCGGCCGAUACCUGAUUAGCUAGUUGGUGAGGUAAAAGCUCACCAAGGCGACGAUCAGUAGCUGGUCUGAGAGGACGACCAGCCACACUGGAACUGAGACACGGUCCAGACUCCUACGGGAGGCAGCAGUGGGGAAUUUUGGACAAUGGGCGAAAGCCUGAUCCAGCCAUUCCGCGUGAGUGAAGAAGGCCUUCGGGUUGUAAAGCUCUUUCGCAAGAGAAGAAAACUUACCCUCUAACAUAGGGUGAGGCUGACGGUAUCUUGAUAAGAAGCACCGGCUGACUACGUGCCAGCAGCCGCAGUAA